GACGAACGCUGGCGGCGUGCUUAACACAUGCAAGUCGAACGGAAAGGCCCUGCUUUUGUGGGGUGCUCGAGUGGCGAACGGGUGAGUAACACGUGAGUAACCUGCCCUUGACUUUGGGAUAACUUCAGGAAACUGGGGCUAAUACCGGAUAGGAGCUCCUGCUGCAUGGUGGGGGUUGGAAAGUUUCGGCGGUUGGGGAUGGACUCGCGGCUUAUCAGCUUGUUGGUGGGGUAGUGGCUUACCAAGGCUUUGACGGGUAGCCGGCCUGAGAGGGUGACCGGCCACAUUGGGACUGAGAGACGGCCCAGACUCGUACGGGAGGCAGCAGUGGGGAAUAUUGCACAAUGGGCGGAAGCCUGAUGAAGAAACGCCGCGUGCGGGAUGACGGCCUUCGGGUUGUAAACCGCUUUCGCCUGUGACGAAGCGUGAGUGACGGUAAUGGGUAAAGAAGCACCGGCUAACUACGUG
Molecule: ribosomal RNA, 468 nt
Filed under: uncultured bacterium
Lineage: Bacteria
Description: partial 16S ribosomal RNA
Rfam family: Bacterial small subunit ribosomal RNA
Source: RNAcentral